AACACAUGCAAGUCGAGGGGUAAGGUUCAGCUUGCUGAACACACGACCGGCGCACGGGUGAGUAACGCGUUUGCAAUUUACCUCUAACUGAAAGAUAGCCCGAAGAAAUUCGGAUUAAUACUCCAUAAUAUUAGGAAUUCGCAUGAUUUCCUAAUUAAAGCUCCGGCGGUUAGAGAUGAGCACGCGUGUCAUUAGCUAGUUGGUAAGGUAACGGCUUACCAAGGCGACGAUGACUAGGGGGUCUGAGAGGAUGGUCCCCCACACUGGUACUGAGACACGGACCAGACUCCUACGGGAGGCAGCAGUGAGGAAUAUUGGGCAAUGGGCGCAAGCCUGACCCAGCCAUGCCGCGUGCAGGAUGACUGCCCUAUGGGUUGUAAACUGCUUUUAUACGGGAAGAAUGGUUCCUACGUGUAGGGAUUUGACGGUACCGUAAGAAUAAGCAUCGGCUAACUCCGUGCCAGCAGCCGCGGUAAUACGGAGGAUGCAAGCGUUAUCCGGAUUCAUUGGGUUUAAAGGGUGCGCAGGCGGAAUAUUAAGUCAGUGGUGAAAUCCUGCAGCUUAACUGUAGAACUGCCAUUGAUACUGAUAUUCUUGAAUAUAGUUGAGGUGGGCGGAAUGUGUAAUGUAGCGGUGAGAUGCUUAGAUAUUACACAGAACACCGAUUGCGAAGGCAGCUCACUAAACUAAUAUUGACGCUGAGGCACGAAAGCGUGGGGAGCGAACAGGAUUAGAUACCCUGGUAGUCCACGCUGUAAACGAUGAUCACUCGCUGUUGGCAAUACAUCGUCAGCGGCUGAGCGAAAGCAUUAAGUGAUCCACCUGGGGAAUACGAUCGCAAGAUUGAAACUCAAAGGAAUUGACGGGGGCCCGCACAAGCGGAGGAACAUGUGGUUUAAUUCGAUGAUACGCGAGGAACCUUACCUGGGCUUAAAUGCAGAACGACGUUUCGGGAAACCGGAAUUUCUUCGGACGGACUGCAAGGUGCUGCAUGGCUGUCGUCAGCUCGUGCCGUGAGGUGUCGGGUUAAGUCCCAUAACGAGCGCAACCCUUAUCGUUAGUUGCCAGCGGGUAAUGCCGGGGACUCUAACGAAACUGCCGGUGUAAACCGUGAGGAAGGUGGGGAUGACGUCA
This 1134-nucleotide ribosomal RNA is filed under the name uncultured organism. RNAcentral describes it as "bacterial SSU rRNA". It matches the Rfam family "Bacterial small subunit ribosomal RNA", at positions 50 to 1187 of the family's 1533-position model. The record is from RNAcentral.